Molecule: ribosomal RNA, 1364 nt
Filed under: metagenome
Description: bacterial SSU rRNA
Rfam family: Bacterial small subunit ribosomal RNA
Source: RNAcentral
UUAAGCAAGUAGUGAACGGGUGAGUAAUGUAUCAGAAUUUAGUUAACAGUCUAGAAUAAUCUCGAAAGGAUGUAAAUCUAGAUAUAAUAAAAGAAAAUAUUUGCUGUUAGAUAAGCUGAUAUAAGAUUAAGUUGUUGGUAAGGUAAAAGCUUACCAAGCUAAUGAUCUUUAGCUGGUAUGGAAAUACGGCCAGCCACAUUGGGACUGAGAUAUGGCCCAAACUUCCACGGAGGUCAGCAGUGAGGAAUUUUGGACAAUUAGCUAGCGCUUGAUCCAGCGAUACUUCUUUGGUUGGAACAGAAGGUAUAAUGCCGUAAACCCAUUUUUGCCAGAAAGGAUAAUGACUAUAUCUGGAGAAUAGAUAGCCCCGGCCAACUCUGUGCCAGCAGCCGCGGUAAGACAGGGGGGGCUGGUGUUAUUCUACGUGACUAGGCGUAAAGGGUGUGUAGAUUGCGGUUAAGUUCUUUAGUCAAAUUCUGUGGUGAAGCCAUAGGUCUGCUUUAGAUACUUUAAGCUUGAGUUUAUUGGGGAUAGUAGAAUUUUUAGUGUAGGGGUUAUAUCCUGUGAUAUUAAAAGGAAUACUGAUGGCGAAGGCUUCUAUCUGAGUAAAACUGACAUUUAAACACGGAGGUAUGGGUAGCAAACAGGAUUUGAUACCCUGGUAGUCCAUACAGUAAACGAUGGGUAUUCGGUCAUUAGAAAUUUUUCUAGUACCCUAGCUUACGCGUUAAAUACCCCGCCUGGGGAGUACGCCCGCAAGGUUGAAACUUAAGGGAGCUGGCGGGAGUUUUUACAAGCGGUGGAGCAUGUGCUGCAAUUAGAUAUUCCGCAAAAAAUCUUACCGGCUCUUGCACAUAAGACUCGAUCACUUCAUUGAGAAAUUGAAGUUUAAAUGCGAGUAGACAGGAGUUGCAUGGUUGUCAUAAGCCCAUGUUGUAAAACUUUAGGUUAAUUCUUAAUAACGGGCGUAAUCCUUUAUUUUAGCAAAGCUUAAUAAUUAAGCUUUUGUUAAAAUUAGAUAUCAUAUUGCAAAUUUUGUGAAAAUGAGGAAGAUGUCAAAUCAUCAUGGCCUUAACGAGCCGGGCUAACCAUGUGCUACAUAGAUUAUUACAAAAAGUAGCCAGAAUUUUUUAGGAGCCAAUCUUUAAAAAGUAAUCUUGGUACCGAUUACUUUCUGAAAUUUGGAAGUAUGAAGAAGGAAUCGCCAGUAAUCGUAGAUUAGCACGCUACGGUGAAUUAGUACUGGGGCUUUGCACAAAUCGCCCGUCGCGCUCUGAAGGUCGGCUUGCGUAAAAUAGGUUAUGGUUUUUUGAAAAUAAUAAUUUUCAAAACAAUUAAUGCUUAUGUGUGUGAUGUUGACAAUU